RNAcentral lists this long non-coding RNA (456 nucleotides) under Equus asinus (donkey). RNAcentral's name for it is "lncRNA (ENSEASG00005028955.1)". The record is from RNAcentral. Lineage: Eukaryota; Metazoa; Chordata; Mammalia; Perissodactyla; Equidae.
AGUGCUUAUUCCAUUAAAAGACAAAAGUCUGUAAUGGAAGAAGUUUAAAAUUUUGUUUAAAUUUUUUUUUUAAUGUUAUAACCUCAGUUGGAUCACUGUGGCGAGGCGUAGGAACGUUUUCAAGGCUUCGGCUACAUAAUCGCAAAGCGGGUUUUCAAACGGUUCAUCGACACUACUACCAACAAUUUCUCCAGCUGCCCCAUUUUAUAUCGCCACCUCCGCCACAAACGAAGUUCUCCGAGGAGCCGCGGAGCGGCGCGAGGGCGGGCGCCUCACGCCUCCACAACUGCUGUCUCGCGCCCUCGCCCCGGGCGCCAGUGCUCCACCCAGCUCUCGCGGGAGGAGACGAGGUUUUGAACGAAAAUUCCGAACCCCCGCACGACCUCCCAACGGUCACGUGACUGGCGCCUGCCUCCUAGACCCAAGGUCUUUCCUAGUCGCCUACUGGCUGUUAAC